This 798-nucleotide ribosomal RNA is filed under the name uncultured KB1 group bacterium. Its description in RNAcentral is "bacterial SSU rRNA". It matches the Rfam family "Bacterial small subunit ribosomal RNA", at positions 549 to 1335 of the family's 1533-position model. The record is from RNAcentral. Lineage: Bacteria; Candidatus Calescibacteriota.
AAUUACUGGGCGUAAAGGGCGUCUAGGCGGCCAGUCAAGUCGACGUUGAAAUUCCUCGGCUAAACUGAGGGAGGUACGUCGAAACUGACCGGCUAGAGGGUCGUAGAGGUAAGCGGAACUCUCGGAGUAGCGGUGAAAUGCGUAGAGACCGAGAGGUACCCCGAUGGUGAAGACAGCUUACUGGGCGUCUCCUGACGCUGAAGCGCUAAGGCCAGGGGAGCAAAGGGGAUUAGAUACCCCCGUAGUCCUGGCUUCAAACGAUGUGGGCUUGGUGUCGGCCCCCUAUAGAGGGUCGUUGCCGGAGUUAACGCGUUAAGCCCACCGCCUGGGGAUUACGUCCGCAAGGAUGAAACUCAAGGGAAUUGACGGGGGCCCACACAACCGGUGGAGCACGUGGUUUAAUUCGAUGAUAAGCGAAGAACCUUACCAGGGCUUGACCUAGCGGUAGUAGAACCCCGAAAGGGGAACGACCUCAAGCUUUGCUUGAGGAGCCGUGGCAGGUAUUGCAUGGCUGUCGUCAGCUCGUGUCGUGGGACGUUGGGUUAAGUCCCGUAACGAGCGCAACCCCUGCCCUUAAUUGCCAACGGGUAAUGCCGGGUACUAUAAGGGGACUGCCGGAGAAUAUCCGGAGGAAGGAGGGGAUGACGUCAAGUCAUUAUGAUCCUUAUGCUCUGGGCGACACACGUGCUACAAUGGGCACUACAAUGAGGAGCAAAUCCGCAAGGACGAGCAAAUCUCAAAAAGGUGCCCUCAGUGCGGAUUGGGGUCUGCAACCCGACCCCAUGAAGAUGGAAUCGG